AGAUUGAACGCUGGCGGCAGGCCUAACACAUGCAAGUCGAGCGGCAGCACGGGUACUUGUACCUGGUGGCGAGCGGCGGACGGGUGAGUAAUGCCUAGGAAUCUGCCUGGUAGUGGGGGAUAACGCUCGGAAACGGACGCUAAUACCGCAUACGUCCUACGGGAGAAAGCAGGGGACCUUCGGGCCUUGCGCUAUCAGAUGAGCCUAGGUCGGAUUAGCUAGUUGGUGAGGUAAUGGCUCACCAAGGCGACGAUCCGUAAGCGUGGUCUGG
RNAcentral lists this ribosomal RNA (271 nucleotides) under uncultured soil bacterium. Its description in RNAcentral is "partial 16S ribosomal RNA". It matches the Rfam family "Bacterial small subunit ribosomal RNA", at positions 26 to 297 of the family's 1533-position model. The record is from RNAcentral.